This 106-nucleotide ribosomal RNA is filed under the name Castor canadensis (American beaver). Lineage: Eukaryota; Metazoa; Chordata; Mammalia; Rodentia; Castoridae. The record is from RNAcentral.
GUGUAUGGCUAUACCACUCCAAACGCGCCCAAUCUCGACUGAUCUCAGAAGCUAAGCAGGGUCGAGCCUGAUUAGUGCUUGCCUGGGAGAAAGCAAAACCUACUCA